This 500-nucleotide ribosomal RNA is filed under the name uncultured bacterium. Its description in RNAcentral is "partial 16S ribosomal RNA". It matches the Rfam family "Bacterial small subunit ribosomal RNA", at positions 28 to 506 of the family's 1533-position model. The record is from RNAcentral.
GACGAACGCUGGCGGCGUGCCUAAUACAUGCAAGUCGAGCGGACCGGCUUGGGGCUUGCCUUGAUUCGGUCAGCGGCGGACGGGUGAGUAACACGUGGGCAACCUGCCCGCAAGACCGGGAUAACUCCGGGAAACCGGAGCUAAUACCGGAUAACACCGAAGACCGCAUGGUCUUCGGUUGAAAGGCGGCCUUUGGGCUGUCACUUGCGGAUGGGCCCGCGGCGCAUUAGCUAGUUGGUGAGGUAACGGCUCACCAAGGCGACGAUGCGUAGCCGGCCUGAGAGGGUGACCGGCCACACUGGGACUGAGACACGGCCCAGACUCCUACGGGAGGCAGCAGUAGGGAAUCUUCCGCAAUGGGCGAAAGCCUGACGGAGCGACGCCGCGUGAGCGAAGAAGGCCUUCGGGUCGUAAAGCUCUGUUGUGAGGGACGAAGGAGCGUCGUUCGAAGAGGGCGGCGCGGUGACGGUACCUCACGAGAAAGCCCCGGCUAACUACGU